This 507-nucleotide ribosomal RNA is filed under the name uncultured bacterium. Its description in RNAcentral is "partial 16S ribosomal RNA". It matches the Rfam family "Bacterial small subunit ribosomal RNA", at positions 29 to 523 of the family's 1533-position model. The record is from RNAcentral.
AUUGAACGCUAGCGGCAUGCUUAACACAUGCAAGUCGAACGGUAACAGGCCUAGCUUGCUAGGCGCUGACGAGUGGCGGACGGGUGAGUAACGCGUAGGAAUCUACCUUGUAGAGGGGAAUAACGGGGGGAAACUCAGGCUAAUACCGCAUAAGCCCGAAGGGGGAAAGCAGGGGACUGUAACUGGCCUUGCAGUAUGAGAUGAGCCUCCGUCGGAUUAGCUAGUUGGGAGGGUAAAGGCCUACCAAGGCGAAGAUCCGUAGCUGGUCUGAGAAGACGACCAGCCACACUGGGACUGAGAAACGGCCCAGACUCCUACGGGAGGCAGCAGUGGGGAAUAUUGGACAAUGGGCGCAAGCCUGAUCCAGCAAUGCCGCGUGUGUGAAGAAGGCCUGCGGGUUGUAAAGCACUUUCAGUGGGGAGGAACGUUUUUAGCACUAAUACUGCUAAGAGGUGACGCUACCCAAAGAAGAAGCACCGGCUAACUCUGUGCCAGCAGCCGCGGUAA